RNAcentral lists this ribosomal RNA (435 nucleotides) under uncultured bacterium. Its description in RNAcentral is "partial 16S ribosomal RNA". It matches the Rfam family "Bacterial small subunit ribosomal RNA", at positions 29 to 507 of the family's 1533-position model. The record is from RNAcentral.
AACGAACGCUGGCGGCAUGCCUAACACAUGCAAGUCGAACGAUUGCCUUCGGGUGAUAGUGGCGCACGGGUGCGUAACGCGUGGGAAUCUGCCCUUAGGUUCGGAAUAACAGCUGGAAACGGCUGCUAAUACCGGAUGAUAUCGCGAGAUCAAAGAUUUAUCGCCUGAGGAUGAGCCCGCGUUGGAUUAGGUAGUUGGUGGGGUAAAGGCCUACCAAGCCGACGAUCCAUAGCUGGUCUGAGAGGAUGAUCAGCCACACUGGGACUGAGACACGGCCCAGACUCCUAAGGGAGGCAGCAGUGGGGAAUAUUGGACAAUGGGCGCAAGCCUGAUCCAGCAAUGCCGCGUGAGUGAUGAAGGCCCUAGGGUUGUAAAGCUCUUUUACCCGGGAAGAUAAUGACUGUACCGGGAGAAUAAGCCCCGGCUAACUCCGUG